Molecule: ribosomal RNA, 371 nt
Filed under: uncultured eukaryote
Lineage: Eukaryota
Description: partial 18S ribosomal RNA
Rfam family: Eukaryotic small subunit ribosomal RNA
Source: RNAcentral
CAAUAGCGUAUAUUAACGUUGUUGCAGUUAAAAAGCUCGUAGUUGGAUUUCUGGGAGGGUGCCGCCGUCCGGCGUGUCCGUGUGCAGUGGCGCCCUUCCAUCCUUCUGUUAGCGUCUCUUGGCAUUCAUUUGCUGGUGGCGGGCUCAGAUAUUUUACCUUGAGAAAAUUAGAGUGUUUCAGGCAGGCUAGGCCGGAAUACAUUAGCAUGGAAUAAUGGAAUAGGACUACGGUCUCUUUGUUGGUUUGAGGGACUGCAGUAAUGAUUAAUAGGGAUAGUUGGGGGCAUUAGUAUUUAAUUGUCAGAGGUGGAAUUCUCAGAUUUGUUAAAGACUAACUUAUGCGAAAGCAUUUGCCAAGGAUGUUUNCAUUA